This 466-nucleotide long non-coding RNA is filed under the name Vulpes vulpes (red fox). RNAcentral describes it as "lncRNA (ENSVVUG00000006885.1)". Lineage: Eukaryota; Metazoa; Chordata; Mammalia; Carnivora; Canidae. The record is from RNAcentral.
CUCAAUUAAAAAUUCCCUUCAAUUAAAAGUCCUGGAGGGUUCCUCGCCCUAGAGCUCAGGAGAGAGAAGAUACCCCGGGGGUCACAGGGGGACGCAUCUACCAGCCCACCCAAGGGGCUGGCCCGGAGCCCUCACUCCCCGGGAGGCGGAGGAAACCCACUGGCCAAUCGCCACCACCGAGGCCCAGAUCUGCUCUCUGAUUGGCUCCAGUGGUGACGCCCCCUCCGAAUUCCUGGCUCUGAUUGGUCUAUUUCCUGACUCCGACCGGGACGGUGCCCAGAGGACGAGAGGCUUCCAGACCGAACCGAGGGAUGCUGUGGGGGACGUCGGAGACGCCGUCGCACGGCGACAAACAGCCGGACUCCGAGGACACGGCGGCGGGCUCUGUGGUCUCGGGGCUGCUGCUGGCGACGGAGAGGAGCCGGCGGGGGCGCCCCCCGAGCCCGCUGCUGCCGCCGCCGAGUAA